Molecule: ribosomal RNA, 253 nt
Filed under: uncultured bacterium
Lineage: Bacteria
Description: partial 16S ribosomal RNA
Rfam family: Bacterial small subunit ribosomal RNA
Source: RNAcentral
UACGAAGGGGGCUAGCGUUGCUCGGAAUCACUGGGCGUAAAGCGCACGUAGGCGGCUUUUUAAGUCAGGGGUGAAAUCCUGGAGCUCAACUCCAGAACUGCCUUUGAUACUGAGAAGCUUGAGUCCGGGAGAGGUGAGUGGAACUGCGAGUGUAGAGGUGAAAUUCGUAGAUAUUCGCAAGAACACCAGUGGUGAAGGCGGCUCACUGGCCCGGUACUGACGCUGAGGUGCGAAAGCGUGGGGAGCAAACAGG